CCGCACUGCUGCCUGCCUUCUCUCCGCCGCGCCCUCCUCCCCGUGCACGGUUCGCCGACGCCGAGGCCCAGGCUGCCGCGCUCCGGGCCCGCGCCGGCCGGCUCGAGCGCAUGCCGCCGACCACGACGGGCUGCUCGACACGCUCCUCGCCGCCACGGGCAACGGACGGUAGGACGAGGAGAGGGAGGUGGAGGCAGCGGAGGAGCCGGUAGGAUGACGAGAGGAAGGUUGAGGCGGCGGAAGAGCCAGUAGGAGUAGGAGGGGGAAGUGGAGGCAGCGGAGGAGGAGACGGGGAUGACGGGGACAGAUCGGCUACACGCCGGAGGACGAGGGCAUCGCACGGCCUACCGAUUCCUUCCUCCCCGCGCCCUGGUUACAAGACCGUCGCUGCCGUCGCCCAACACCAACCGCCUUGCCCCGAUUAGCUCUUGGAGAUGCGGACGACAGGAUGUGCUCCAGCGCCGCCGCCUACGAGCGCCUCCCAGACGAUGAGUCGACAACGAAGCUCGGGGACGUGAUAUGGCGCUCGGUGUAGGUGGCCAUGGUGGACCUGAAGAAGCUGGCUGAGAUAAGCGAUGGGUGAGCUGCUUCUCAAAUGUCCCAUAGCAUACCGGCUGCAGCACCCCGAGCUCCUCAUUAUCUGCUCCAUGAUCAAGAUCCAUCGCCACCGACAGCCACGCACUUGGAUGCAAGGCUUGCCCGGACGACUCUGAACCGAAACCAAUCCUAGACUGGGAGUCGUAUGCAUCGUCCAUUUGUGCAUAUCCAACCAAAGCACUUAAUUCACAGUCCGCAAAAUAGGUAAUCUAUGUAACGCAAGG
Long non-coding RNA from Triticum dicoccoides, 821 nucleotides. RefSeq lists it as uncharacterized. The record is from RefSeq and is a predicted model, not a curated record. The transcript has 3 exons. Lineage: Eukaryota; Viridiplantae; Streptophyta; Magnoliopsida; Poales; Poaceae.